This 253-nucleotide unclassified non-coding RNA is filed under the name uncultured Parcubacteria group bacterium. RNAcentral describes it as "contains 16S-23S intergenic spacer region". It matches the Rfam family "Bacterial small subunit ribosomal RNA", at positions 524 to 776 of the family's 1533-position model. The record is from RNAcentral.
UACGAGUGCCUCAAGCGUUAUCCGGAAUUAUUGGGCGUAAAGGGUGUGUAGGUGGUUGUGUUAGUCUUCUGUUAAAUUCUUCGGCUUAACCGGGGGCAUGCAGGGGAAACGGCACGACUAGAGGAUGCGAGGGGUCUGUGGAACUCAUAGUGUAGCGGUGAAAUGCGUUGAUAUUAUGGGGAACACCAAAAGCGAAGGCAGCAGACUGGAGCACUCCUGACACUGAAACACGAAAGCGUGGGUAGCGAAUGGG